UGGGGAAUAUUGCGCAAUGGUCUAACGACUGACGCAGCGACGCCGCGUGAGGGAUGAAGCUUUUCGGAGUGUAAACCUCUGUUGCCCGGGACGAACUACCAGAUUUCUCUGGUUUGACGGUACCGGGUGAGGAAGCACCGGCUAACUCUGUGCCAGCAGCCGCGGUAAUACAGAGGGUGCGAGCGUUGUCCGGAAUCACUGGGCGUAAAGGGCGCGUAGGUGGUUUGGUAAGUGUGUGGUGAAAGCCCGGGGCUCAACCCCGGGUCUGCCAUGCAAACUGCUGAACUUGAGCAUACUAGAGGCAGGUAGAAUUCCGGGUGUAGCGGUGGAAUGCGUAGAGAUCCGGAAGAACACCGGUGGCGAAGGCGGCCUGCUGGGGUAGAGCUGACACUGAGGCGCGACAGCGUGGGGAGCAAACAG
Molecule: ribosomal RNA, 420 nt
Filed under: uncultured bacterium
Lineage: Bacteria
Description: bacterial SSU rRNA
Rfam family: Bacterial small subunit ribosomal RNA
Source: RNAcentral